This 252-nucleotide ribosomal RNA is filed under the name uncultured bacterium. Its description in RNAcentral is "partial 16S ribosomal RNA". It matches the Rfam family "Bacterial small subunit ribosomal RNA", at positions 524 to 776 of the family's 1533-position model. The record is from RNAcentral.
UACGGAGGAUGCGAGCGUUAUCCGGAUUUAUUGGGUUUAAAGGGUGCGUAGGCGGUUCGUUAAGUCAGCGGUAAAAUUGCGGGGCUCAACCCCGUCGAGCCGUUGAAACUGGCAGACUUGAGUUGGCGAGAAGUACGCGGAAUGCGCGGUGUAGCGGUGAAAUGCAUAGAUAUCGCGCAGAACUCCGAUUGCGAAAGCGGCUCUCUGGCCUGUAACUGACACUGAGGCUCGAAAGCGUGGGGAGCAAACAGG